This 72-nucleotide transfer RNA is filed under the name Camelus bactrianus (Bactrian camel). It matches the Rfam family "tRNA". From Rfam's summary of the family: Transfer RNA (tRNA) molecules are approximately 80 nucleotides in length. The record is from Rfam by way of RNAcentral. Lineage: Eukaryota; Metazoa; Chordata; Mammalia; Artiodactyla; Camelidae. RNAcentral also lists the same sequence under 1 other name.
GAGGUUAUAGCUCAGUGGUAGGGUAUCCCCUUAGCAUGAACAAGGUCCUGGGUUCAAUCCCCAGUACCUCCA